RNAcentral lists this ribosomal RNA (439 nucleotides) under uncultured bacterium. Its description in RNAcentral is "partial 16S ribosomal RNA". It matches the Rfam family "Bacterial small subunit ribosomal RNA", at positions 338 to 795 of the family's 1533-position model. The record is from RNAcentral.
CCUACGGGAGGCAGCAGUGGGGGAUAUUGCACAAUGGGGGGAACCCUGAAGCAGCGAAGCCGCGUGGGGGAAGAAGGGCCUCGGCGCGGAAAGCCCUGUCAGCAGGGAAGAAAAGGAGGGUACCUGAAGAAGAAGCCCCGGCUAACUACGUGCCAGCAGCCGCGGUAAUACGUAGGGGGCACGCGUUAUCCGGAUUUACUGGGUGAAAAGGGGGGCAGACGGCGAUGCAAGCCAGGGGUGAAAGGCCGGGGCCCAACCCCGGGACUGCUCUUGGAACUGCGUGGCUGGAGUGCAGGAGGGGCAGGCGGAAUGCCUGGUGUAGCGGUGAAAUGCGUAGAUAUCAGGAGGAACACCGGUGGCGAAGGCGGCCUGCUGGACUGCAACUGACGUUGAGGCCCGAAAGCGUGGGGAGCAAACAGGAUUAGAUACCCGGGUAGUC